UCUCUCUUUGAUAUUGGAAUAAUUUCUACUUAUAUGCAACACCACUGAGUAGAUGCAUAUGAAAAUACAUUCACGUAAAAAUGCCUUUGGUAUGAUGAAUUCUGUGAUUCUGCUCCAGUUCUGAUUGUAUCUUAUGAAUAAAAGUUCCUGGGUGAGGACUCAGCCGACAGCUGUGCUGAUGAUGUACGAGGCAGGGCUGGCCCUCGUUCCCAUUUCCACGCUUGCGACUGCCCCAGAGGGCUUAGCGAGGUGGUUUUGAUGUGCAGUUAAGACUGAAAACAGCCAUCUCUGGCAACUCCACUCAGACCUUCAUGCGACAGGGAAAUGCUUUGGAGAUGAAAUUCCCACGUGAAAGAUGUUCUUCCAGCACCAGAAGCAAAGGAAAUUCCUCUUACCAAGGAUGAGAAGUGGAGACCUAGAGAAUUCUACACAAACAGACCUUGUUAAAAUUACUCUUUGCUUCCUCUGGCCUCUCCCCACCUAGUGUAGUUACUUUUUAAUAAUUGCUUCUCUUUGUUCAACCUACUAUCAAAGCCACUUCUUCGGGUCUUCACUCCUUAUGAAGGUUCCCGUGUUAGGUAAAGCUUAUACAAAUGUGUGUGCUUUUCUCCUGUUAAUCUGUUUGAUGUCAAUUUAAUUCUCAUGUCCAGCUGAAAAGCCCUAAGAUGGUAGAAGCAACAAUUUGCAUCUCUUACAAUGCUGAUGUAACCACUACCACAAUCAAGACAUAGGACAUUUCCAGAAAGUUCCUUCGUCCCUUUGCAGUUAGCCUCUAUGCUCCUCUAACCCCAUCUCAGGAAACCAAUGAUUUGCUUCCUGUCAUCAGAGAUGAGUUUUGGGAUUAUACUCUAUGCAACGUUUUGUGUCUGGCUUUUUUUGAACAGAAUAAUGUGUUUGAGAUUUAUCCAUGUUGUAUGUAUCAAUAGUUCAUUCUUUUUAUUGCUAAGCAGUAAUCUAGUCUCUGAAUAUGGUACUACUUAUUUAUCUAUUUACCUCUUGGUGAGCAUUUACUACUUAAUUCUGGUAUCAAUAUUUUUUUUGGUACUUCUCUCUGCAUUUUUUCUCUCCUAGAUAGUUUACAGUGAGAACAGGGAAGGUGAUAUGUCACCAGAGCCCCAAUUUUUCUAAGAAUUCCAGGGUUGGGUUCAAGUAACAUAAUUAGUAGUAAUUUGGCACCUGGUCAAAUUCUUCUCCAUGAUAUAAAAUGGAAUCACGUAGCUAUACCAUUUGUUUUCCUAAGCGCUCAGAGCUGUUGGUUUAUGUGAACUCAUAGACACUGCUCACCCCAGGCAGUUUCAUUGAUUCUGGGUUGCUAUUUAUUCCA
Long non-coding RNA from Nyctereutes procyonoides (raccoon dog), 1324 nucleotides. RefSeq lists it as uncharacterized. Lineage: Eukaryota; Metazoa; Chordata; Mammalia; Carnivora; Canidae. The record is from RefSeq and is a predicted model, not a curated record. The transcript is spliced from 3 exons.